GAUGAACGCUAGCUACAGGCUUAACACAUGCAAGUCGAAGGGAAACGGCAUUUAGUGCUUGCACUGAAUGGACGUCGACCGGCGCACGGGUGAGUAACGCGUAUCCAACCUACCCAUUACUGUGGGAUAACCUGCUGAAAGGCAGACUAAUACCGCAUAGUCUUCGAUGACGGCAUCAGAUUUGAAGUAAAGAUUUAUCGGUAAUGGAUGGGGAUGCGUCUGAUUAGCUUGUUGGCGGGGUAACGGCCCACCAAGGCGACGAUCAGUAGGGGUUCUGAGAGGAAGGUCCCCCACAUUGGAACUGAGACACGGUCCAAACUCCUACGGGAGGCAGCAGUGAGGAAUAUUGGUCAAUGGGCGGGAGCCUGAACCAGCCAAGUAGCGUGCAGGAUGACGGCCCUAUGGGUUGUAAACUGCUUUUGUAUGGGGAUAAAGUCAAUCACGUGUGAUUGUUUGCAGGUACCAUACGAAUAAGGACCGGCUAAUUCCGUGCCAGCAGCCGCGGUAAUACGGAAGGUCCGGGCGUUAUCCGGAUUUAUUGGGUUUAAAGGGAGCGUAGGCCGGAGAUUAAGUGUGUUGUGAAAUGUAGACGCUCAACGUCUGACUUGCAGCGCAUACUGGUUUCCUUGAGUACGCACAACGUUGGCGGAAUUCGUCGUGUAGCGGUGAAAUGCUUAGAUAUGACGAAGAACUCCGAUUGCGAAGGCAGCUGACGGGAGCGCAACUGACGCUUAAGCUCGAAGGUGCGGGUAUCGAACAGG
This 761-nucleotide ribosomal RNA is filed under the name Prevotella melaninogenica. RNAcentral describes it as "bacterial SSU rRNA". It matches the Rfam family "Bacterial small subunit ribosomal RNA", at positions 28 to 776 of the family's 1533-position model. The record is from RNAcentral. Lineage: Bacteria; Pseudomonadati; Bacteroidota; Bacteroidia; Bacteroidales; Prevotellaceae.